Molecule: long non-coding RNA, 941 nt
Filed under: Sus scrofa (pig)
Lineage: Eukaryota; Metazoa; Chordata; Mammalia; Artiodactyla; Suidae
Description: lncRNA (ENSSSCG00070004819.1)
Source: RNAcentral
GUGAAAUCAAGAGCAACUUGCUGGGUCCUUGCUGUGUCAUCUGUGAGAUGGAGAUGAGAACAGUGUGGACUUUUGAGAGUUGCCCUGAGAAUUAGUGAGAGAACACAAGGGGUACACGCAGCACAUGCCUGGCACACAGGACGCACCCAAUAAAUGCUAACUCUGUCAGCAUACUGUUAACCAGGUUGACCAGCUGGCUUAGAUAGUUCUGGGUCAGCAGACUCAGAUUGGCAAGCAGUAUCUUCCUUGGUGCCUCCCCACUGACCUGACACACUCUUAACGCCGAAUUCGAUCCAAUCCGGGAUCACCUUGAGCUUGGCUUUUGAAAGGUUUGUUACCACUGCAACUUGAUUCCCUGACUGCAUGGGUAACAGAAACAUCCAGGAAGAGUGCAACUUGGCAAGGGCCCAGAAGACAGUACUGCGGAAGGAGACUCAAGGUUCUUGUAAUAGAGCGUCUUCUGGACUGUUCAGAGGAAGAAGUGUUGUUAGUGUUAUUUUUGUCCCUCCGUGGUAUAGUGGUCAAAUGUCACUUUUCCAUCCUCUGGAGGAGUGAUGCAGAUCUGAGGCUGUUGGCUUUCUUCACACAUUUUUUCCCACCGUGGGAGGACUCUGACCUCAGUUCUUUUUUACAAGCUGCUUUCAUUUUUUUUUUAAACCCUGAAUUGUGAGUAAACAGUCCCUGAUAGUAGAUAAAGGAUUUAUCAGCUCUGCAGCUCACCUCCUACAUCCAGCCUGUUUCUCAUGAAUACAAAUCUGCCGUGGGGACAGGUCAUAUCAGAAUUUGAAUUGCAGAAACAACUGGAGAUAAGAGGCAGGGCCCCAAAAAGAUCCUGUAGAAGGUCCCAAAACGGAACCGACCCACCCCUCAGGGAGCCAGGGCUGGAGAGGAGCUAUCACAACACCCAGAAGAUCAGCGAGGAGGCUCCUGUGGUUAUCAUC